Molecule: non-coding RNA, 556 nt
Organism: Cinara cedri
Lineage: Eukaryota; Metazoa; Arthropoda; Insecta; Hemiptera; Aphididae
Source: the annotation of a GenBank genome assembly
AAGCGAUUAAUAAUAAUAUUUUCAUUAAUAAUAAUUAACAUUUAUACGUAUUUAUCCAACGUUAUUUUUAAUGUAUAUAUACACUAAUAUCUAGGGUAAUUCCUUUAUCACAAACGAAAAUCUAUACGAAGAUUUCGAAUUUAUUUGAUUUUGGUUUUUAUCAGAUGUUAUAAAACUGUUCGUGAUUUUAUACUAGGCUACAGAUAAUUCUGAGUAUUUUUCUAUCGAACGACAUUUUCGUUUCUAUUCAGUUAGUUACAGUCAACCCCUCCAUAACCGUAUAGUAGAUAGAGUUGGUCUAAAAUUCGCCGUGUUAUUAUGCAGAAUAGCUUUCAUUUUUUUUAAAUUAUUAUUUCAAGUAGAUAUGAUCAAGUAUCAAGUAGAUCAAGUAGUAUGAUUUCAAAUAGGUAUUCAUUAGUAAGAGCAAAUGAUGAUUUUUUUUUUGCCUUUUUGGUGUGGCUUACUAAUUCGAUGGUUCGACCGUUUACAACACAGAUCGUGUAGCAUCGUAAUAUUUAAAUUUAUAAACUUUAGUCUUUGUCCAAAAAUGCACGUU